GAUGAACGCUGGCGGCGUGCCUAAUACAUGCAAGUCGAGCGAAGCGGGGACGGGUGAGUAACACGUGGAUAACCUCCUAUAAGACUGGGAUAACUUCGUGAAACCGGAGCUAAACCGGAUUCUUUUACCUGGUUCUGGGCUGCAUUAGCUAGUUGGUAGGGUAACGGCUUACCAAGUCCACGAUGCAUAGCCGAACUGAGAGGGUGAUCGGCCACACUGGAACUGAGACACGGUCCAGACUCCUACGGGAGGCAGCAGUAGGGAAUCUUCCGCAAUGGGCGAAAGCCUGACGGAGCAACGCCGCGUGAGUGAUGAAGGUCUUCGGAUCGUAAAACACUGUUAUUAGGGAAGCGGUACCUAAUCAGAAAGCCACGGCUAACUACGUGCCAGCCGCCGCGGUAAUAC
This 405-nucleotide ribosomal RNA is filed under the name uncultured bacterium. RNAcentral's name for it is "partial 16S ribosomal RNA". It matches the Rfam family "Bacterial small subunit ribosomal RNA", at positions 28 to 526 of the family's 1533-position model. The record is from RNAcentral.